GUCGAGAAUAAUUCACAAUGGACGAAAGUCUGAUGGUGCAACGCCGCGUGGAGGAUGAAGGUCUUCGGAUUGUAAACUCCUGUCAUCGGGGAGUAAGACCUGGCGGUAAAUAGCCGACAGGGUUGAUAGUACCCGAAGAGGAAGGGACGGCUAACUUCGUGCCAGCAGCCGCGGUAAUACGAAGGUCCCAGGCGUUGUUCGGAAUCACUGGGCGUAAAGGGAGCGUAGGCGGCGUGGUAAGUCAGAUGUGAAAUCCCGGGGCUCAACCCCGGAACUGCAUCCGAUACUGCCAUGCUUGAGGGUUGGAGAGGUAGCUGGAAUUCUCGGUGUAGCAGUGAAAUGCGUGGAUAUCGAGAGGAACACUCGUGGCGAAGGCGAGCUACUGGACAACAUCUGACGCUGAGGCUCGAAGGCCAGGGGAGCAAAAGGGAUUAGAAACCCGGGUAGUCC
This 450-nucleotide ribosomal RNA is filed under the name uncultured bacterium. RNAcentral describes it as "partial 16S ribosomal RNA". It matches the Rfam family "Bacterial small subunit ribosomal RNA", at positions 354 to 796 of the family's 1533-position model. The record is from RNAcentral.